This is a non-coding RNA of Danio rerio (zebrafish), 1871 nucleotides long. Lineage: Eukaryota; Metazoa; Chordata; Actinopteri; Cypriniformes; Danionidae. The record is from RefSeq and is a predicted model, not a curated record.
GCGGAGAUACUGUCCACUAUACUAACGAGGAGCUGCGGAGCUAAGGUGCCCGCUCCUGCCCCACGCAGAUCAGCCAUGUAAUCCGGUCCUAGCAGCAUUGUCUGCAGCGCUGCCACUAAAGACCUUGGCAGACAGCAAGAGGAGGGCUGAAAACUGGGCUUGGACAGCUUUUUCUUCAUUAAUACUCCUUGCUUCUUUCUCAGUCUUGCACUGGUCAUCAGCAGUAACUUGAACAGUGCAUCACACAGGAGAACGUGAUUAGCAUGUUUUGCAGCAAACAAAGCACGCCAUUCAUUCUUACACACAGCCCAGCUUUUACUCCACAAAAUGUCAGCUUGCCCUUUCACGAGCUGCAUCCAGUCAACCCUUGCAAUGACAUUCAAACCGGGGGAGCUCAUUACAGUGAACACUGGCUGACAGAAGAUGAGAACUCCACCACUGCAGAGUGAAAUUAUCCACUUCUGUUGUUUUUUGGUGAGCUUGUGCCGUCGAACGAUUUAUCCAACCUCAACGUCGGAAAAAGAUGGGAUCCAUACUUGACAUUUUUGUGUUUCGCCCCCCACACAAAGAAACUCCUUGCUUGAAAGCUUUCAUUUUCUACACUUCUGUGAGAGGAUGUCCACAAGCGUUGGUAACAUAGUGGUGAGCACAGCUGGCUUCCAAGCAGAUUCCCAGCCAAUGUGUUCCUUUUGGCUUCCGUUAUGCUACAUGGCCGGGCGGCACUCUUGUGAGGAUGUCCCUGUGACAUGUGGGUAGAUCGGUGCAUUUUGCGAAGGUUAGGAUCCCUAUGCCGAACAUGUUUCGGUGCCGAACCCGGACAAAGAGGGAUCCUUGGUUGAAGGCAGUCCUUUUUGAGUUCUUCUGGCAAAAGCUGCCCGCAAGCGUUGGUGGUAUAGUGGUGAGCAUAGCUGCCUUCCAAGCAGUUGACCCGGGUUCGAUUCCCGGCCAACGCAUUUUCCUUUGGCUGCUGUAUACGUCACGUCGGCCGAUGACGCGCUUGUUAAAGGCAACCAACCGAAAAUGCGUUGGUGGUAUAGUGGUGAGCAUAGCUGCCUUCCAAGCAGUUGACCCGGGUUCGAUUCCCGGCCAACGCAUUUUCCUUUGGCUGCUGUAUACGUCACGUCGGCCGAUGACGCUCUUGUUAAAGGCAACCAACCGAAAAGUAAAAGGCAGACAAGGGCCUCCCCGUCGGGGAAUCGAACCCCGGUCUUCCGCGUGACAGGCGGAGAUACUGUCCACUAUACUAACUAGGAGCUGCGGAGCUAAGGUGCCCGCUCCUGCCCCACGCAGAUCAGCCACGUAAUCCGGUCCUAGCAGCAUUGUCUGCAGCGCUGCCACUAAAGACCUUGGCAGACAGCAAGAGGAGGGCUGAAAACUGGGCUUGGACAGCUUUUUCUUCAUUAAUACUCCUUGCUUCUUUCUCAGUCUUGCACUGGUCAUCAGCAGUAACUUGAACAGUGCAUCACACAGGAGAACGUGAUUAGCAUGUUUUGCAGCAAACAAAGCACGCCUUUCAUUCUUACACACAGCCCAGCUUUUACUCCACAAAAUGUCAGCUUGCCCUUUCACGAGCUGCAUGCAGUCAACCCUUGCAAUGACAUUCAAACCGGGGGAGCUCAUUACAGUGAACACUGGCUGACAGAAGAUGAGAACUCCACCACUGCAGAGUGAAAUUAUCCACCUCUGUUGUUUUUUGGUGAGCUUGUGCCGUCGAACGAUUUAUCCAACCUCAACGUCGGAAAAAGAUGGGAUCCAUACUUGACAUUUUUGUUUUUCGCCCCCCACACAAAGAAACUCCUUGCUUGAAAGCUUUCAUUUUCUACACUUCUGUGAGAGGAUGUCCACAAGCGUUGGUAACAUAGUGGUGAGCA